Molecule: ribosomal RNA, 493 nt
Filed under: uncultured bacterium
Lineage: Bacteria
Description: partial 16S ribosomal RNA
Rfam family: Bacterial small subunit ribosomal RNA
Source: RNAcentral
AUUGAACGCUGGCGGCAUGCUUUACACAUGCAAGUCGAACGGUAACAGGUUAAGCUGACGAGUGGCGAACGGGUGAGUAAUGCAUCGGAACGUGCCCGGUCGUGGGGGAUAACGCAGCGAAAGCUGCGCUAAUACCGCAUGCGAUUUGAGGAUGAAAGCGGGGGACCGUAAGGCCUCGCGCGAUCGGAGCGGCCGAUGUCAGAUUAGGUAGUUGGUGGGGUAAAGGCUCACCAAGCAAACGAUCUGUAGCUGGUCUGAGAGGACGACCAGCCACACUGGGACUUAGACACGGCACAGACUCCUACGGGAGGCAGCAGAGGGGAAUUUUGGACAAUGGGCGAAAGCCUGAUCCAGCAAUGCCGCGUGCAGGAAGAAGGCCUUCGGGUUGUAAACUGCUUUUGUACGGAGCGAAAAGGUCUCCUCUAAUACAGGGGGCUCAUGACGGUACCGUAAGAAUAAGCACCGGCUAACUACGUGCCAGCAGCCGCAGUAA